Molecule: ribosomal RNA, 182 nt
Filed under: uncultured bacterium
Lineage: Bacteria
Description: partial 16S ribosomal RNA
Rfam family: Bacterial small subunit ribosomal RNA
Source: RNAcentral
CAUGAAGCUGGAAUCGCUAGUAAUCGCGGAUCAGAAUGCCGCGGUGAAUACGUUCCCGGGUCUUGUACACACCGCCCGUCACACCAUGGGAGUCGGAAAUGCCCGAAGUCUGUGACCCAACCGGAAGGAAGGAGCAGCCGAAGGCAGGUCUGAUGACUGGGGUGAAGUCGUAACAAGGUACC